GCCCCACGUUGGGCGCCAAUUAAUUGUGUAACGAACACGUGAUGUGUGCAGCAAUCUGGAGGCGUACUCUGCCUACGGGUGCCGACUUGAGCUCAGGGAAAAUGGGGGGUUCUUUUGCCACCUAGAAAGCCACCGUGUCACAUAACCAAAACUUGUAGGACAGAGUUAUACUAGGAAUGGAUAACAACCGAAUAAGCAAGAAAAGAGAAAACAAAAAUGAUAUAUCUACAUGUAAAGAACUCAGAUGUUACAGCUCUUCUUCUUUACCCACCCAACCAUGUAAAGACUCUUAAUUCUUUGCCUUUACCCUAAAUCAAUGCA
Drosophila innubila is the source of this 321-nucleotide long non-coding RNA. RefSeq lists it as uncharacterized. The transcript has 3 exons. The record is from RefSeq and is a predicted model, not a curated record. NCBI's taxonomy places the organism in Eukaryota, Metazoa, Arthropoda, Insecta, Diptera, Drosophilidae.